RNAcentral lists this ribosomal RNA (130 nucleotides) under Eptatretus burgeri (inshore hagfish). The record is from RNAcentral. Lineage: Eukaryota; Metazoa; Chordata; Myxini; Myxiniformes; Myxinidae.
GUCUACGACCAUAUCACGUUGAAAACACCGGUUCUUCUCAUCCGACCACAGAGUUAAGUAACGUAGUGAUUAGUUUGUGCUGUACUUAAAUAGUUGACCACUUGGGAAUAAUAAAGAACCAACAUAUAUU